RNAcentral lists this ribosomal RNA (798 nucleotides) under uncultured archaeon. RNAcentral describes it as "bacterial SSU rRNA". It matches the Rfam family "Archaeal small subunit ribosomal RNA", at positions 89 to 870 of the family's 1478-position model. The record is from RNAcentral.
CUCAGUAACACGUGGUUAACCUACCCUUAGGACGGGGACAACCCCGGGAAACUGGGGCUAAUUUCUGAUAGGUGAGGAGGCCUGGAAUGGUUCUUCGCCGAAAAGGCGUUGAAACCAUGCUUUUCAGCGUCGCCUAAGGAUGGGGCCGCGCCCGAUCAGGUUGUUGGUGAGGUAACGGCUCACCAAGCCUAUAACCGGUACGGGCCGUGAGAGCGGGAGCCCGGAGAUGGGCACUGAGACAAGGGCCCAGGCCCUACGGGGCGCAGCAGUCGCGAAAACUCCGCAAUGCGCGAAAGCGUGACGGGGCUACCCCGAGUGCCGUCUGCUGAGGAUGGCUUUUCCCCGGUGUAAUGAGCCGGGGGAAUAAGGAGAGGGCAAGACUGGUGUCAGCCGCCGCGGUAAUACCAGCUCUCCGAGUGGUAGGGACGAUUAUUGGGCUUAAAGCGUCCGUAGCCGGCUUAGCAAGUCUCCUGUUAAAUUCAGCGACUCAAUCGUUGAGCCGCGGGGGAUACUACUAGGCUAGGAGGCGGGAGAGGUCGACGGUAUUCUCGGGGGAGGGGUGAAAUCCUAUAAUCCCGGGAGGACCACCAGUGGCGAAGGCUGUCGGCUAGAACGCGCUCGACGGUGAGGGACGAAAGCUGGGGGAGCGAACCGGAUUAGAUACCCGGGUAGUCCCAGCUGUAAACGAUGCGGGCUAGGUGUUGAGGUGGCUACGAGCCACUUCAGUGCCGCAGGGAAGCCAUCAAGCCCGCCGCCUGGGGAGUACGGCCGCAAGGCUGAAACUUAAAGGAAUUGGCG